AUUAUAUUUUUGUUAAUUACUAAAGAUGUGUAAUAACAUGAUUGUGGUAUAAUAAUGAUCUGUUUAAUUAAUACAGGUACCAGAAGUGAUGGCACAGGAUGCCAAAAUGGAGAAGAACAAAUUGAAGUUAUGGCACAACCCUUUUUUAUUGACAAUAAAGAGUACUACACACAGUCACAUUUAAUUUUUUAACACUACAGUACAUUAAAUCUAAAUGUACAUCUUUGUGUCUAAAUGUAGUAUGUCCAUGUUUGUACAAUUGUAUAGCAGGGACUGAGAGAGCAG
Paramuricea clavata is the source of this 285-nucleotide non-coding RNA. Lineage: Eukaryota; Metazoa; Cnidaria; Anthozoa; Malacalcyonacea; Plexauridae. The record is from the annotation of a GenBank genome assembly.